AUAGAAAGCCGCCCGGUUGCCAAAACACUAAACCCCAACAAGGGGAAACAGGAAGGGGCAGGCUUAUAGGAGAAAAACGUGCAAAAUUCUGUCUAAUGACAAAAUUCCACGAACAGACCGUUCGUAUGAAGAGCAGUAUAAAUACUGGUAAAACUCCCGAACGGUAAACAGACGGACUGUGCGAAUGAAUCCACAGUUCGUCUAAAAAUCAUACGAACGAAAAUAAACUGGUGAAUAAAGGAAACUGCCGAACGGCAGAUUAGACGUCAGUUGAAAAAGGUGCGAAAGUGCCGCGAUACAAGU
Molecule: non-coding RNA, 303 nt
Organism: Pelobates cultripes (western spadefoot toad)
Lineage: Eukaryota; Metazoa; Chordata; Amphibia; Anura; Pelobatidae
Source: the annotation of a GenBank genome assembly